UUCCGGUUGAUCCUGCCGGACCCGACUGCUAUUUGGGUGAGAAUAAGCCAUGCGAGUCGAAUGGGAUACCUAAAUUUUCCAUGGCAAACUGCUCAUUAACACAUGAUCAACUUACCCUAUAGAGAAAAAUAACCUCGGGAAACUGAGGAUAAUGUUUCGUAGUUGAAUAGGCUUGGAAAAGUUUUUCAAUAAAAGGGAUAAAAUAAAUGGUUUUUAUCUGCUAUAGGAUAGGAUCGUGGACGAUUAUGGUUGUUGGUGAGGUAACGGCUCACCAAGCCGAUAAUCGAUAGGGGCCGUGAGAGCGGGAGCCCCGAGAUGGGUACUGAGACAACGACCCAGGCCUUACGAGGCGCAGCAGGCGCGGAACCUCCGCAAUACACGAAAGUGUGACGGGGUUACCCAAAGUGUUCAAUUCUGAACUGUGGUAGGUGAGUAAUGUUCCCUACUAGAAAGGAGAGGGCAAGGCUGGUGCCAGCCGCCGCGGUAAAACCAGCUCUUCAAGUGGUCGGGAUAAUUAUUGGGCUUAAAGUGUCCGUAGCCGGUUUAGUAAGUUCCUGGUAAAAUCGGGUAGCUUAACUAUCCGUAUGCUAGGAAUACUGCUAUACUAGAGGGCGGGAGAGGUCUGAGGUACUACAGGGGUAGGGGUGAAAUCUUAUAAUCCUUGUAGGACCACCAGUGGCGAAGGCGUCAGACUGGAACGCGCCUGACGGUGAGGGACGAAAGCCAGGGGAGCGAACCGGAUUAGAUACCCGGGUAGUCCUGGCCGUAAACGAUGCAUACUAGGUGAUGGUACGGCCAUGAGCCGUAUCAGUGCCGUAGGGAAACCGUUAAGUGUGCCGCCUGGGAAGUACGGUCGCAAGGCUAAAACUUAAAGGAAUUGGCGGGGGAGCACCACAAGGGGUGAAGCCUGCGGUUCAAUUGGAUUCAACGCCGGA
This 935-nucleotide ribosomal RNA is filed under the name uncultured archaeon. RNAcentral describes it as "bacterial SSU rRNA". It matches the Rfam family "Archaeal small subunit ribosomal RNA", at positions 1 to 922 of the family's 1478-position model. The record is from RNAcentral.